GGCUACAGAAGGCUCAUAAAAUCAGACGGCGCAGAAUUAGGGCUUCAGACAGGCACAGACAACUGCACUCGUCUAUUUAAACUACUAUUCACCGUUUCAGUCUCACUCAUCCACAGUUUUCUCUACUUGUCUUACUUUUUCGUAUUGUAGUCUUAGGGUUUUCUUUAUAUCGGUUAGGGUUUAACAAGUUUUGAAUUUUGUAAAUCACCAAUGAGGAAGACAUCCCAAGAAUAGGAAGUGCCGUAUGACACUUUAAACAGCAGCUGCAGCCGCAGUUUCCACUCUUUUUCCCAUCCACCAUUGUUCGGUUUCUACCCAAGUUUCUGUUCAAUGGUCGGGAUUUUGUGGUAUUCUGCACUGUAGCUGUGUGUGUGAUUUGGACGCAGUUUCCACUCUCAUUCCCAUCCACCAUUGCUCAGUUUCUUCCCAAGUCUCUGUUCAAUGGUCGGGAUUUUGUGGUAUUCUGCUUUGUAGCUGUGUGUGUGAUUUGGAACGGGUCCCUGAGGUUUUUUCAUACCUACUUUUAUUUAAAUAUUUGAGUGUAAUUUCAAUGAAGGUCCGAUGCCACGUCGACGGUAGCAAAGAUAAGCAAUGACCGACGAUGCUAUGAUUGGACCAAUAACAAGUUUUUAUUAAUGUUUCGCAUUUUGAUAGGAAUCUGUGGAUGGAGUUUUCAUUCCUCACACGGAGCCGUUUUAAAGAAAUUAAUUUGGUGAGAAGUGAAGCCAAUGAGGAAUUUAUUUAUAAAUAUAUUUGGAAUUACCGUCUGAACAUUUACAUUGAUGUUUGAUCGACUAUCUGAGGCUGAGUAUUUUUGAUAGUUUUUGUAAAGGCUAAUUAUCUUAAUCAAUUUCAAAAGAAAACAAGUUAUGGUUCUAAAGUGUAUUUUAAGUGAGUUACCACUCUGGCAAUAUUUUGUUUUAACUUCAAAUUGUAUGACUUAGAAAUGGGUUUUAGUUGGUCCUAUUGUAAGAUUAGAGGGAAUCAAUAUUUACGAUAUAUUAUUUUUGCCCUUUAGCCAUGUUAA
This 1027-nucleotide long non-coding RNA is filed under the name Nicotiana benthamiana. RNAcentral describes it as "long non-coding RNA (NBEN_LNC035687)". The stretch from base 556 to 711 matches the Rfam family "Small nucleolar RNA snoR2/U65". The record is from RNAcentral. Lineage: Eukaryota; Viridiplantae; Streptophyta; Magnoliopsida; Solanales; Solanaceae.